Molecule: ribosomal RNA, 891 nt
Filed under: uncultured bacterium
Lineage: Bacteria
Description: bacterial SSU rRNA
Rfam family: Bacterial small subunit ribosomal RNA
Source: RNAcentral
CCGCGGGAUUAGAGUUUGAUCCUGGCUCAGAGCGAACGCUGGCGGCGUGCUUAACACAUGCAAGUCGAACGCGCAGCAUUCUGUAGCAAUACAGGGUGUGGGCGCGUGGCGAACGGGUGCGUAACACGUGGAUAACCUUCCUUGAGGUGGGGAAUAACCCAGUGAAAAUUGGGCUAAUACCGCAUAACAUCGCGAUGGCACAUGCUGAUGCGAUCAAAGGCGCAAGUCGCCACAAGAGGGAUCCGCGGCCGAUUAGCUUGUUGGCGAGGUAAUGGCUCACCAAGGCAAUGAUCGGUAGCCGGACUGAGAGGUUGGCCGGCCACACUGGAACUGAGACACGGUCCAGACUCCUACGGGAGGCAGCAGUGGGGAAUCUUGCACAAUGGACGAAAGUCUGAUGCAGCAACGCCGCGUGGGGGAUGAAGCUUCUCGGAGUGUAAACCCCUUUCGACCCGGAAGAAUGCCCGCAAGGGUAUGACGGUACGGGUAUAAGAAGCCCCGGCUAACUACGUGCCAGCAGCCGCGGUAAUACGUAGGGGGCCAGCGUUGCUCGGAAUUACUGGGCGUAAAGGGUCCGUAGGCGGUGUAGCAAGUCGAUAGUGAAAUCUCUGGGCUUAACCCAGAGGCUGCUAACGAAACUGCUGUGCUAGAGUGUGAGAGAGGCGAGUGGAAUUACGGGUGUAGCGGUGAAAUGCGUAGAUAUCCGUAGGAACAUCCGAGGCGAAGGCGGCUCGCUGGAUCACAACUGACGCUGAGGGACGAAAGCUAGGGGAGCAAACAGGAUUAGAUACCCUGGUAGUCCUAGCCCUAAACCAUCAGGACUUGGGGUUUGCCCUGUACGGGGCAAGUCCCGUAGCUAACGCGUUAAGUCCUGCGCCUGGGGAGUACGGU